Branchiostoma belcheri (Belcher's lancelet) is the source of this 2400-nucleotide long non-coding RNA. RefSeq lists it as uncharacterized. The transcript is spliced from 3 exons. The record is from RefSeq and is a predicted model, not a curated record. NCBI's taxonomy places the organism in Eukaryota, Metazoa, Chordata, Leptocardii, Amphioxiformes, Branchiostomatidae.
UGCAGGCAGUUACUAACAGCACAGUUGAGCAAGGGUGUUUGGCAAGACCUGAAUUAGAGGAGAGAACUACUACAUCUUCUAAUACUCCAUCUGGCUGUAGUUCAGAAAGUAGCAUAGAUGAAAUUGAUGAAGCAUUCUUCAGGUCAUCAUCAAGCUACGUCCCCUUAGUUAGCAGAGACAACAAGAAACUUGACCAGGCCAGCAGUGUUCAAGUUGGUGUCAGUAACAAUCAAGAACUGUGUGCAGAUAGUGCAGCAGCGGUUUUCAAUGAUGAGGAUGAAGAAGCAAACAAUUUCAAGGGCAUUGUGAAAAGGGUUGCAAGUCAGUGCAGUAACAGCCAAUCUGGAGUGGCCAAUGAGGAAACAAUUGCAAAGUCGUACAACAUAAACUGUGACAGCCAUCCGAAGCUAAGUCUCACACAUAACAAAGGCAUCCAUGCCGAAACCUCUGCUCCUGAGGAUGACGUAGUAACUACAAAAGAGGGUAUGUCUUUGACUGAUCAUUGUGAUGGAAGCUUGGUAGGAUUACCGGUAAGUCACAAAUGUCAGCAGGUGCAAUCCACCGAUGGUACUACUCAAGGCAGUACAUGCACGUCUUCACUUGCUUUACUUGACUACAAUACAAAUGUGGGAAAAGCAAGCCACAAAGAAGACACUGCACAUACCAGUAUUUUUACUGAAAGGAUACCUUCCAAUGAAGAAUUUCAUAAAGAUAUGAAAGCAAACAGCAAUAACUUUCAGAUGGCACAUCAUCUGCCAUCUACAGACACUUGCCAUUCUGAUGGUGAUGUCUCCACAGCCAGUACAAGCCUUACAGAAACCACCUCAGAAAAAGAAAACCUACCAGACAUGACUGCAAUGUUUCCUUGUAAGAAUACUGCAGAGAAUGGUGCUGUUUGUAAUGCCAUCACCCCUGUCAGUCAUAGAACCCCAAUGGGAUAUCAAGUUGAACCAAAAGAGUCAAGUUGUGAUGUGAUGGACCAGACAGUUCCAGAUGAACCACUGCAUUAUAUCAGGGACCACACUGUAGAGGGAGUACCAGGCACAGAAUCUGACACUGGGACACUCUAUGCAGAAACAUCUACAUGUCAUGAUGGGAAGUCAAGCAGCUUGUUCUACUGGUCUCCCCAACAUAUAUCAUACACAGAGCAGUUGGUUCCAACCAAAGCAGACAUGUCAUCGAAUGAUACAUCAUCAUGCGGUGUCUUCGGUGUGUCACCUUUGAAGACGUGUUCUCGACCAAUCCGAGUUGGUCUGUCUCGCAGGCAGAGGGUCCAAAAACUUCACCCCUACAACAAACCUAAAGAGUAGAGCUCCACACAUUGCUCUAUGUGGUGAGGCUGAACAAUGUUACUUUUGGCAUAGUAGUUAUGUAAAACACCUGAUGGAGUUAUCGUGUUAAUUUCUUGUGAAGUUGGCUGGAAAGGCUAACUUGGGGACAUUGUAACCUCCUUUUGUCAGGUCUUGUGUUUAGAUUCCCCUUUGCCCCAUCGUUUGGCUGAAAAAUGUUAAUGCUGAGAAUAGAAAAAAGAUCCCUUGAUAUGUUAUACUGAUGUUGAAGAUAGAUGAGUUGUUCCCAUUGAGUUGUGAACACAUUGUACAUGUAUUGAAUAUUAUACUGUUUACUAUAGAUGUGGCAGUCAUUUUGACUUUUUGAAAUCUCAUGUUUUUUUAUGUCACUUGAAACUGUUAUUUGACUUGAAUUAGUUGCUAAUAGAAAUAUAUUGCCCUCUUGUGGGCAAAUUAUUUACAAUUGUUAGAAUACACAGGAAGUGCCAGUGUUGGAAGAACAUACUAGGUUUUGUACAUUGUUCAUUGUACUGAAGAUCUGCAAGUAUUCUUUCUCAAAAUAGACCAUGCAGACUAGUAGAUUGCAACUCUUCAGUAGACCACAAGGAGGCAUCUCUAUCUCAUGAAAAUAGGACUGGGAUAAAGGUCUUGCCAUACUUCACAGAAUAAUUGAUAAGAGAAGGUACUGCAACAACACUUCUGAAAGUGAAAUUUGUUGAUAACAAAAAAAACUGAAGAUGAGUACCAAAAAGUUUUGGGGAAAAAAUCUCCUCUGUAUGCUUGUUUUUGCUACUAAGAAGCAAUGUACUCUAUGUUCUCUGUAUGGAUAUGGUGGAAAGAAACUGUCCACUAUGAUCUUAUAGAUUUUAGUUAAUGUUGAAAUGUGAUACGAAGUGAGUGAAAUAUCUUGCACCGGGUCUUUUAGCUAACAUAGCAGUUAACAUCUCUAUCUCCUCCAAGUAGAUACUGUGUUGACUUACGUUCCGCUUCAACAGUGAAAUGUUCUACAUUGCACAAUUUAGGAUCCUUGUUGCAGGGCGGGGUUGUUCGAAGAAAGCUCAUGUUAUGAUUCCAAUUUUUGUGCCUGUACUGUUUUUGGUUUUGCCUUAAU